GCUGCCAUUCGAGAAAUUCAUCCACCCGCGCUUGCUCCAAGAAAUAUUUCGGAUAGAGAUAUUCGGGAAUUUUACCCUUUGCGCUGAGCCAAUUUGAAACCAUCAUCAUUAAUGCAGGGCACUCGCUGGAAACGAUUGAUAUUUUGCUUGAACUCUUCAGUCAAGUGUUCACCUGCGACGAAAGAAAAUAUUUAUUAUGAAGUAUCGGUUAAGAAAAAUAAAGCAUAACUUGGGUAUCUUUGCUAACCCUAAGGCUUGUCCACCGGUCCAUCAUUAUUUCUGUCGACAAAUCUGCCGACUACGGUUUUGACGGUUUAAAAAAUAAAAAUUUAAAACAACGAUUAUUCUUGAUAAAAAAA
This is a long non-coding RNA of Rhagoletis zephyria (snowberry fruit fly), 359 nucleotides long. RefSeq lists it as uncharacterized. NCBI's taxonomy places the organism in Eukaryota, Metazoa, Arthropoda, Insecta, Diptera, Tephritidae. The record is from RefSeq and is a predicted model, not a curated record.